GACGAACGCUGGCGGCGUGCUUAACACAUGCAAGUCGAACGGUGAAGCGCCUUCCUUUUUGGUGGGUGUGGAUGAGUGGCGAACGGGUGAGUAACACGUGAGUAACCUGCCCCCUUCUUCUGGAUAACCGCAUGAAAGUGUGGCUAAUACGGGAUAUUCUGGGUCUGUCGCAUGAUGGGUCUGGGAAAGAUAUUGUUUCGGUGGGGGAUGGGCUCGCGGCCUUUCAGCUUGUUGGUGGGGGGAUGGCCUACCAAGGCGGUGACGGGUAGCCGGCCUGAGAGGGUGGACGGUCACACUGGGACUGAGACACGGCCCAGACUCCUACGGGAGGCAGCAGGGGGGAAUAUUGCACAAUGGGCGCAAGCCUGAUGCAGCGACGCCGCGUGAGGGAUGGAGGCCUUCGGGUUGUGAACCUCUUUCGCCAGUGAAGCAGGCCUGCCUCGUUUGUGGGUGGGUUGACGGUAGCUGGAUAAGAAGCGCCGGCUAACUACGUG
Molecule: ribosomal RNA, 494 nt
Filed under: uncultured bacterium
Lineage: Bacteria
Description: partial 16S ribosomal RNA
Rfam family: Bacterial small subunit ribosomal RNA
Source: RNAcentral